Hippocampus comes (tiger tail seahorse) is the source of this 741-nucleotide long non-coding RNA. RefSeq lists it as uncharacterized. The record is from RefSeq and is a predicted model, not a curated record. The transcript has 3 exons. Lineage: Eukaryota; Metazoa; Chordata; Actinopteri; Syngnathiformes; Syngnathidae.
GCAGGUUUACACAGGAGCAUGAAGAGCCUCCAGGGGUGGGAAAGUGCCUUAACCCUUUGGUGGAGGGAGCGGGAGAACAGCAGGCUAUCACAAAUAUGAUCAAAUUCAUCAGAUGGAUAUGUUGGAGUUGGACUUUGGACGAACAUUUGAAAGUUUUUCUUUGUUUUUAAAGCAAGUGUCGGAAUAAGUUGAGUACCAUUAUCAGUGAAAUGUACGGUAAAGACAUUCAAUCUUAACAAUCUAGUCAGCUGGGAUAGGGUUCAGCUAACCCGCGAUUAACGGCGACUAGCGCGAUAUAGAAAAUGGACGGGUGGAGCUACCAUUCAACUAUCGCAUCAAAAGGACAAAGCAGAAAAGCUAAGAAAGUAGACAGGCAAAAUGAGAGGAGAAAAAUGAAGCUCAAGUUGAGAAGUUGCCAGUAGCCAGCAGGCUGGAAGCUACAGGGAGCAAGUAUUUAAGGUGUCACCGGAGGAAAAAAAUCUGCCAUCUUGCAAUCCAACGUCUGCACGGACAAGCCUGUUGAUAAAGGAGACAUUAAUGAGAGGCCAAAGAAAUGCUCAGUUGAUGUCCCGAUAUGGCGGACAACUUCCACAAAUCGAUGCUGCAUCUACCGUCAUAGACGCACAAUAAUAGCAUCAUGUUCGCAUUUUGAGCAAGCAACUGAAUCGUUUCAGAUUGACAAUUUGCUUCAAAGUUUUUUCUUGACAACAUGCAAACGCCAUGGGCAUGUCCAAGUAGAGA